GCAAACCCCAUCACAGAUACUGUGGUCUUAGUUGGAGUGAAUUUAUAGUAUGUGGAUACAUGCUCAUAACACUCUACUGAAAUUGAUUGACAGGAUAACCAGACAUGGGCAAUAGACUUUGUAAUUGUCCAAAGGACAUAUAUCAGUCAUAUACAAUGUUUGGUCCUGAGAUUAUGGACUCCCAUUCCAUAUGAAUAUUG
RNAcentral lists this unclassified non-coding RNA (200 nucleotides) under uncultured Tuber. RNAcentral's name for it is "sequence contains ITS2". Lineage: Eukaryota; Fungi; Ascomycota; Pezizomycetes; Pezizales; Tuberaceae. The record is from RNAcentral.